This 302-nucleotide ribosomal RNA is filed under the name uncultured bacterium. RNAcentral's name for it is "partial 16S ribosomal RNA". It matches the Rfam family "Bacterial small subunit ribosomal RNA", at positions 508 to 807 of the family's 1533-position model. The record is from RNAcentral.
GCAGCCGCCGCGGGAAUACGAAGGGUGCAAGCGUUACUCGGAAUUACUGGGCGUAAAGCGUGCGUAGGUGGUGGUUUAAGUCCGUUGUGAAAGCCCUGGGCUCAACCUGGGAAUUGCAGUGGAUACUGGGUCACUAGAGUGUGGUAGAGGAUAGUGGAAUUUCCGGUGUAGCAGUGAAAUGCGUAGAGAUCGGAAGGAACAUCUGUGGCGAAGGCGACUAUCUGGGCCAACACUGACACUGAGGCACGAAAGCGUGGGGAGCAAACAGGAUUAGAUACCCCUGUAGUCCCUGUCUCUUAUAC